UAAUGACAGACAGCCUGUUACAUGUGGCUUUUUUUUUUUCCUUUAUUCUUUUUUCCUUUUUCUUUUUUCUUCUUUUAUUCAUUUAUUCCUUUUUUUUUUUUUCUUUUUCUCUUCUCCAGCUGAAGUAGAACAGAAAGGGAUGAGACUGCUACCCCCUUUGGGCUAAAACAUCUCUGACAGGUGAAAAUUGCAGCGUCCCAAAGGGGAUUAGCGCAGCAUUAACUUACUUGUCAAAUACAAAUGUCAGGUUAAUUUUGUUCCUAGCUCGAUAUUCAGAAAAUACACGCUUUUCUUCCAACACCUCUAGAAAGGUUCCUCUGUGCGUAUUUUAAUUACAGUGGAAAUGGAUCUAGCUGUAUCCUGGAGUGCAUGUGUGUCUAUGAGGUCCUCUUAAAUAAAUAUCUUCUAUUCAACACCUUAUUUACAGACUUGAAGGCUUGCAAGAACCACAUCAGUUCCUAGCCUACCUGUUUAGAAAACACAGGCCUGAAAACUUCACCAACAAAUUUUCUUCUUGUUUGCAGCCCAGGAUUGCUCGUCGCUCAGGCCAGGAACAUCUUCUUUGUGAUCUGCAGCUCCUCACACCCAGGACAUGCUCAAAUCCUGCCAGUUAUUUCUGCAGAACACCUCCUGGAUCCUCGAUCAAGCCAUCUUCAUCCUGUAUCUCAAUUACUGAAGCACCCUGCCUUUAUUCAGGCCCUGUACAAAGAACAUUUUCCCUCUCCAUCACCUGAACAGUCAAAGCUCGUGAUAUUUUUCCUUCCUUAACCUGUGAAAUGGGAAAAUUGAGGAGGGAAAGGAGUUUUCCUGGGAUGUAGUGGAGAGCAGUCAUGCCCAGCAUCAGCAGGGGCGAAAUCUAGAUUUUCCUCAAGGCUCCUGGAUUCAUUCUUCGGUUGCUAUGACUGAAAUGUGGGAAUUAAGGCACAUCCUUACAGCUGAACAAGACUGACAUCAUUAGGAGUUCAGACUUUGCUGCUGCUGGCAAAACAAUGUCUUCGCUGGAAUAAUCGUGGCCCCUUGAAAAAAGAACCCUAAGGAAGAUUCAUGGAAAGAAAAAAUUUGCUGUGAGCUUCUCCCCAUCACUCCUGAACGGCAGAUACCAAAAAGAACCUGUUCUUUCCCACUGGGAACCCUAAAGGGUGGCUCCAGAAGUUUUGGUGGAAAAAAAUGACAUUUCUCUAUUCCUUUGCUCACCAAAACCUGACAUUGGUCUGCGUUUAAGUGAGUGUGAUGAAGAAAUACCUAUUAAAUUGGAAAGGCUUCCUCCAGCCAGCUUGGAAAUCCUGAACUGUUCGCUCACAGCUAUUUCUAUGACAAUUAUUUCCCUGCUGUCCACAGCCAUAAAUAUGGAUAAGCUAAUUGCCUGUAAACCAUCAACAUUUAAGAACUGCGUUUUCAGGACAGCUGGACCACUGGAAGAUUUUGAAAUAUAACCGGAAGCAAAGCAGCUAAACUUGAGGAAUCCUCUGCACAUAAAUUGUGGGAGGAACCCAUCAGUGGCGGGAAGGAACAUGGCACCGAACAGAAUUUAUCAGAGAUUUCAAGAGGAAAAAGUCUGCCCGUGAUAUUUUAAUGGGACAUACAUGCAGCAAUGGAAAAUUUGGAGGAGAGGGAGCUGUCUCAACCAUGAAGCAACCAGAUCGCUUCCUCAGCAGCCCACUUCACCCAAUCCGAAGAAAAAAAUGGGAACUUGGCUGCUGGUGACGUGCUAAAUUCAGGAGCCUAAGCCCCGUUAUGCUCCUAUGGCAAGCCCAAGGUCUGUAUUCCUUGCACACCCACAGGUAAAAUCCUUGUUGGUAUUAAGUUUUUGCAGAUGAAUUUAAUGCUUGAUGGGCAUAUAGCAGGUAAGCAUUAGGUGCCACGUCACAUCAUAUUGCAGGGAUUUUCCUUCCAUCUGAUUUCUUCAAGCAACCCGUCCAUGAACUGAGAUUCGAGAGCUAAAAGGCAUGCUCAGCUGUCAGCUUUUAGCCUGGCUCCGUGCACAUGUUGCUCCAACUCUCAAUUAUUUGCUAAUCUAGAAGACCUACGAAGGAGGUGGAUCUGACCUUUGAAAAUAAUCCUCUUAAACGGGACUGUGAAGACGGGAUGUGAACUCGACUUCCUUGACCCGACUUCAUCAGCGAACGCUGAUUCAUUGAAAUUGAAGCGUUUUGCUGAAAAUAGAGCAGUUUCGAUGGAAAUUUCCCUGAUUCCCAGGCAGGAGCCUGGGGGAACUGGCUGCUUUUAGAGCAGCUCUGCUCUCCCUCACUCCAAGACACCCACACCUUGCAGGUAGAUCCUUCCUGAGCAAACCAGCUUCAGUGGGAACUGCCCUUUAAUUUUGCUAACCCUUUAAUUUUGCUAACCCUUUCUCCGUAUGGCUACUGCAUGAUUAUUUUAACACUUUCUCUGUAGAGUCUCACCCCGGAUUCUUCUAACAAACGCCCUGUAACUCGUGUGACCUUUCCUAGCGAUACAUCACCGGUGACUGUAUUAAUGAUAUUUUAUCGGCAGGGAGAGAUUUAGCAUGGCAGGCUGUCUGCAGAAUUUAGUGCAGGGUGCUUUCCGUCCAAGUAAAUGGCAAGACUGGACCCAAAUUAUGCCCACGUACACACGGAAUAUAUGAGAAAUCUUAAAGGCAUUUGGAUUCAUUCAGGGAAGGCGAACCCUGCCCUGAUUAAAGUGCAAUAAAGCAGCAAUUACUGUUGCCACUCCUUGGAGAGGGGAAAAAGUCUUGGCUCUAAGAGCGGGUUUAGAGCAAAAUUGACCAGUUGUGAGUUAGUUGCCAAGAGCUGGGUCUGAAAUCAACCCCUGUCCGUGCUGUGCCUUUCUGCCUCUCCCCUUUUCUCUCUCAAAGAGGCCUUCAAGGCUGGCAAAGAGCAGGACCUGACCAGUCCCCUAAUCAAAUCAGUGAGCACAGAAAAGGUCAGAGCUGUUGCGGGAGAGCGUUGGCUUUCACAGGCUGUCACCGAAGGAGCCACAGAACAUCACCUAGGAGCUCCUGGAACAUUACAGAGGGAAUUCAGCCCAAAUCUGAGAGGGAAAUCUGAAUCGCCUCUUCACUCCGGGUGCUGCCGGGUGGUGUUUGUUCCUUCCUGACUAUUUUUCAAAAACCUCUGUUGAAAUUAAAGCCGCCUGGCUCUUUUCCACAAGCUGCUGGGAUCACCAAAUGUCCAUCCCGGGCUACCCGGCUUCCACCUUCUUGGGGUGGAAGCUUUUAUCAGACGGCUUGUGGAUAAUAUCGAGGGCUGGAGUGGCUCCUCGUAGCCUGUUAGCCUGCACUAACAUUUUUCUCCAUCAACAGCUUCUUGACUAGGCUGUGACUUGAAUUUCAAAGAGCCCGGUGACUGUGCUGUUUGCUUUGCCGAGAUGGUUUUAUUAGCGCUGCAGGAUAAGGGGUAGGAUCUUCAGAGGAAUUUUUUUUGCCAUCCAGUCUGGACAAGUGGAGCUGAUCGAGGAACGAGCACUUCUGGGCUCCCUCGUUUGCUGUUCGGAGUCCUGAGGUUCAGUUCAUUUGUCAAGUUUGAAUUACCAAAGAUGUUUUUCCUGUCAUUUCGACAUAAUUUUGCUAUUGCAGGCAGCUCCAUCUCUCCCUGACUUCUUCUUUCCCCUGCAAAUAGCCCUGGGAGGACAGGUCCCAGCCCCUUGCUUGGGUUUUUUUCUGCAAGACCAAGAGAUGAGAUCUGUGGAGAGAGCUCACCGUGUGAUGUGGUAGGGCUCUGGAGCACCACGUUUAAUUUUAGCCCGGAUCCAUCCCUUCCUUUCUCAAACAACAAGAUUUUAAGUUCCUCUCCCCUCAGUGUCUUUGAUCUCUUAACAUCUGCCCGGGAGAAAAGGGGUGAAAAAGCAAUUUGCUACACACGCCCAGGCUUUGAAAAAAAACACACACAUUGCAUUUGGGAUUUAUUCAAAUAAACCACAACAUCAGAAAUAAAUGUAAGGCUCCGGAAUUCACUUUGCAUGAUUAAUACUUUUGAAUAUUUCCGUUUAACUUCCCAAGAAAUGAGAACCUUUAGUUUCCUGCUCGAUAGCCGCUGCGCGAUGAAAGAUGCUGAAAUUGGAUGUUACAGGUCAUGGAAUUGUAUUUAUGUACCCAUUUCAUGCUUCAGAAAGCCGCCCGCUUCAAAUGUAAGCCUUGAUUAGGGGAAAAUGCUGCCUAUCAAAAUAAAUAAAUAAAGGGGCUGCUCUUCUUCUCCCUGGCAGAGACGUGGACGUGGAGGCAAAGGAGGAGAGGGAGCAUCUAAAUGCCAGCUGGGGUCUUUAAUUUAUCCCCAUUGCCACUGCUGCUACAAACUUUUACAGAGGCUGAGCCUUUUGGGGAUGAUUUUAGGGCUCUGUAAGGAUGCGUGGUGCUUGUGAAAUGGGAUGGAGAAAUAUCUGACUUUCUGUCAAACCUCUGUGAAGUAUUUCCUAGGGUCCGGGUUGGCAGCACGUCGCCGUAAUAUCGGCCAUGUCUUCGUUCGAUCACACUUGCUGUGCUUUUUUUCCCCAAUUUUGCGUGAUUUCAGGUUCCUGAAAAUUCAUUUGGAGCAAGAAUGUCAAACCAGGUGGUUAUUUCAGCAUUAAAAUGCAUCGGGCAAAAUCACGCCACUUUUGAGGCAUGAUCACCUUUACUUUAAAACUUAUUUUUGUCUUAGGAACAACAUCUUUGGAAACGAUCGCAUACAAAGGCCUUAAAGGGAGGUAAAAAAUGCUAAAAUACAAAAUCAGCCGAAAACUUAACAGCAAUACUUCACAGCUUGCUCGUCGGCAUAUGGAUGAGGAGGAACAAUGUGUGAAGAGCCUGGCUCAUUCUUUCCAGAAGAGGUUUACCCAGAGAGACCCGCCAGCACCGUCCGGAAUCCCUAAUGCAAUCAGCAUCCUCAGCCCUGCCUUUCAGCCUGCUUCUGGAAGUGGGAUAAACUCAGAAAGCAAAUUUUUUUCCCUCUGAUAGCAGUCUGAAACUCUCCUUUAGAAGGAUCCCAGCACUAUUCAGUGACUGUGGAUUGAGUUUUCCUGGCUGGUGUCCCCUGUGUCCUGUGAUGCUCAAGGUCUGGCUUUGCUGGGAGGUGCUGGUGCUGGUGCCAGGGGAGCUUUUUGCCAAAAAACAUGGAUUUUAAUGUGAGAGGUUUCUUUUAAUGUUCCUUUCUCUUCUGAAAAUGGUAAGGGCUCUGAAGAAAAACGAUGCCACACAGUGUUGAAACGGGAAAAAAAAUGACUUCUGUAUCUACUUGGGUUAUGCAUCUGCUAUUAUUCACCACGUAGCUGCAUCACCGCCUCAUCUUGCCCAAAAGAGGCAUCUACCGCCUCUCUGAUUCAUUUCUGAAUCAAAAAUCACUUAUAAAAAAGAAAAGAAGGGAUAUAACAAGGGCGUUCAGAAUAGGAAACAAAGCCUAGCAAGAACCUCCCCUUGAAAUUAUGAGAAUUCCUCUCCUUUUAGGUAACAGAAACAGUCCCAUUGGUGUCCCAAGGCUGGAAACCUCAAAGAAAUGACAAAUUCCAAAUCUCCAGGCAGGGAUGAGCAAGAAAGAUAUUUUUUGCAAUAAUUUAGAGCCCUGUUUAAUAAGCAUCUUGCCAAAAAUCUUGUAUUCAAGGGGCGAACAUGCUGUGAUGGAAAGGGAAAAGGUGAUUUCUUGCUUCUUACUGUGCUCGUCCUUGUGGCUCGCUUUUGUCCUUGCUUUGUCCUUUGGCCUGCUCAGGCUGUGUUUCAGAAGUCCACGAGCAUUUCCAUCCCAAACUAUUGGAAGAAGGUAUAGGAGAUGGGGUUUCUUGUUAUUUUUGAGACACGGAUAGCAACCCUGAGGCUACCCCUCCACUCCUGAAGUCAAAAAGGUAUUUAUUUCCAAACUGAAAACAUGAUUUUAUUUUUUUUUUAUAUGAUCUCAGUGACCUCUGACCAGCACGAGUGGCUGAAGGACGGAUUCAUUUCCGAGCUACUUCUUUAUGAGCGAUUGAGAGAGCAUGGGAAGCACCGUGCAGGAAUGAAAAUGCUUGGCGUUGGAGGAAGCACAAGAAGGUUACAAGAAAAAGAACAUAUUUUUAUAUUAAGGACAUAUUUUUAUAUUAAAAUUAGGGGCACUGCACAGGUGCUGAUCCUGGUGAUAAACCACAGAGCCCUGGGUGCCCGCGUGUGGAUUAUCGUGGUGGUGGUUAUUCAAAAAAAGGCCUCACCUCCUGCAUCACCAAAAAUUCUUUGCCUUGCCCAUCACCUUCACCUAUUAAUAUUUCCAGCGCCUACCAAAAAGUUAGAGUAACUCCACCGUCACUUAGGAAAUUAAUUAACUGCUUAUUGUUAUUAACAAUUUCUAUGUUGGUCGAGUCUCGGAGCUUGACUGGGACCGUGGAUUAAUUCUCCAUCACGUUAAGUACACGGGGAAACGAUGGUGCUGUCACGAGGAAUUUAUAGUUUGGAUCAUCUGAGCAUGCAUUGUACUCUAAAGCCAUUUUUCAGUUGUGCCCUUCGUUACUGCUCAAUAAGAGGCAUUUAAGAGCAAUAACAGCCCAUCGCCAGGAACAAAGUUAAUAGGGGCGAUGAAUGAUCUUCUGAUUGCAUCUUCUGAAUUUAUGAUGUGGAAGAAACUCUCCGCCGAAGCAUGUCAAUAGAGAUGACAUGUUUUCCUUCCAAAUGCCACCCGCAGUAGUUCCGCACCUUCCAGAGCUGUGUGGACACCGAAAAAUGCAGCUGGGUGCUUGAGUGAUGCGUGCGAUUGUCAGGCUGCGCUUCUUGGGCAAACCCAUUACAGCAAAUCCACAGGACGGCACCAAAAAUGAUGAAUGGAUGAGCUGCUUAUUUAUGAGCCAAGUGCACCAGAAGAUAAAUAUCCGCGUGGUAGCUUGAUUAAAUGGUGUCUAAACAGUGUAAGUGGAAGAUGAUGUAUCUCCGGAAGGAGGGGCUGCAUGGAAAUGAAGAGGUGAUAUUGUCUUCGGUGUAGCGUUUAGAGGGACAAUAAAUGGAUGUGGUGCUGGGCUCUGUGUGACGAGGAAGUGGAAAUGAAGUAGCGUGGAGUAGUUGCUUUCUGAGUGGCACUGUGUCCUUUAUGAUCUGGGAAGGGAUGGACUAGCAUGAAAUGGUUGUGUCCCCUUCCUUCCCCCGUGGUAGAGCAAAUCGGAGAUGUUUGGGGCUCUGCCACUUUACAGGGAUUACGGUAGGUGAUGUGAAGACUUAAAAGGCUGAGUCAUGGCUAGUCAAGUCAUGGAUAACUUGUCUUUCAAAAUACUGAAACGUGGAUUAACCAAAGAACUGUGGUUUGCACUAUAUAAAAUACGUACUGCCCUUGCCUCCUAACUAAAUGUUUAUUUUCUCCUCUCCUUUCCACUGAGUAGGUUGGUCUUGAUCACGAGACUGCUAAUAAAAAACCUGCGGCAGCUUGAAGGCAUGAACAAGGUGCUCAUAGAUGGCUCAGGAAUUUAAAAAGAGAACAAAAACUUGAAA
Molecule: non-coding RNA, 7390 nt
Organism: Anas platyrhynchos (mallard)
Lineage: Eukaryota; Metazoa; Chordata; Aves; Anseriformes; Anatidae
Source: RefSeq, a predicted model, not a curated record